GCUCCCUUCCCUACGGCUGGACCGACAGAAAAACCGACUGGAUUUUUUCCUGGGACAAUGAAAUAAUGAGCAGCAGCCAGGCUCCUAGGCAAAGGUAGUAGGUGGGGAAAGCAGCCUAGCUCUCAGGCGCGCAAUCCCCUCUCCUCACGCUGCCGCCGUCCCCGGGAGGUGGGAGAACGAGCCGGCUUUCCCGGACAGGUGACUUGGAAUCAGCAGUGUUUUGAAGAGUGCAGCGCAGAAACCAUGACUGCCCUCAAACUAAAAUCAUUUUGCAGGAAGUGGAAAUCAGAUGAGGCUCACAGAACUACAGCCACCAUGAUAUAUUUUUCAGCACUGAGAAGGGGAUAGAAAGUGUGUUUAAGUUUGCUUUAUCUUAUUAUAGCUUUCCAGCCUUCCUUCAUUUUUUAAGCAAAUCAGGAAACUUCACUGAAGAUAAUCUUGCCAUAGAUUUAACGCUCAGAGCAGUGGCUCUUACUCAACAGAAAUAGUCACCAUUUUAAAAAUGGUUGCUGGGCCACACAUGGGAGAUUCAGGAUAUUUUCUAUUUAUAAAUAUUUACAAACAGGUAAGUAUAUGACUUUUUCCUUGCUGAUGAGCUAUUUACUCUCUUUCACACAUGCACGCAGAAAGAGCUACUUAGAACACACUUGGAUUCAAGUCCAGUCAAUGAAUAAAUUACACAAAUGGGUUUCAUUGCUUCUAUAAUUGCCACAUAUAACUAAACAGCAAAAAUGUUCAAAAAUGCUAAUAUAACAUAAUUCUGAGAAUCUUUUGAGAAAGCCCAAAACAGUAAUACACGAACAACUUAAAAAGAACUCUCUAAAAAAGGCUAGAUUACAUGUUUGGAAAGUUCCUGUUUUUGUCUAACAACACUAUUUUACGUCACUAAUGGUGAAGAACUGCAUUUUUAAACAAGAAAUAACUGCAAUCUGGUAGCAGCUAAACUAUUCCAACAGGUGUAUGUAGUACGUUUGGGAUACAUGUUAAGGACUGGUAGAUCUACAUGCUCAAUGCUGAUCGGCAAAAUGGGAAAGAGCUGUGCACAGAUUUACAGCCCUUGUUACAUACUGGCACAUUUUCUUUGUUCUUUAGGGUGACACAAAACACUAUCCUAUCUUUUCCUACGUAUCCAUUGUCACCACAAAGCUAUCGAUCCAAGAAAAGAUUGCUCUUCUGAAUGGAGCCAUCAGGUCAAACUUCAGAAAUCUUUUCACUUCUGUCCCAGGGAGGAGGAAUGAUUGAAAGGCAGUGAGCAACCUUUGUUUGGAAAUGGAUGCAGAAAUUGAGGUAAAGCUUUUACUUGUCAUGUUGAGACCGCUGAAAGAAGUUGCCUUUUUUUAUUUUUCAGUAAACAGGACUUACACAUUCUGAUAAAUGAAGGUGUCUUGUGACCUGACUGGUGUCAGAAGCCCUUACAUUCACUGCUGGGAUGCCAUGCAGCUGGUCUCGCAGUCAGAACCCUUUCGGCUAACAGCACAGCAGACACACCGCUGCUGAGUGUAAGCUGCGCAGGCAGCACUAGGACACAAAUAUGCCCUCCGGAUUCUACAUUCCUAUUGCUAUUUGACUCUAGAUCACUUUAUUUUUGUGCUGCUGACUGAACAGACUCUAUGAUCCAUACAUGGCCCAGAAAAUCUUCUGAAUACCUCAAAGACCGUUAACAAUUAUGCAUCUCUUGGACCAUUUCCAUUUAAGGAGAACCUCUUCCAGAGAUACUGAUCCACUGCUGACUUGUACGAACAGUGAUUUACCCAUGUGAAGAUUGGUGUGGCUCCUUUGUUUUUCUAUAUGUGACUAUUCUUAAAGCUUGCCACAGUGGGAGGCACACUUGCUCACUCACGUACAUUGCUUUUGCAUAACACACAACCUGAUAUUAGAUUCAUUUCCUCAGCAUGUGUAAAACUCCUUUCAGAAACUUAGCUUUCUGAUCUUUUACUUAUUCUAUCUCCAUUUUAUUUUAUUUUAUUUUAUUUUAUUUUAUUUUAUUUUAUUUUAUUUUUUUAACUUUAUUUAGCACCUGGGAGGAUGUAGAAAGCAAGUUGUCAGAUUUGGAACUAGAAUGACCUUUCUUCCAAAGAAGGACAACCGUGUAACAAGAAUGGCAGGGCUUUUCCCCGGGUACCUGAGUCAAAACCCAUACGAGCAAACAAGAAAAUACUUUACCAGGUUCUGGAUCAGACCCAGAACACCGCGGACAGGAGAAUUUCAAUACUAGCCCAGUGUGCGCAGUGUAAUUUGACCCGGGGUGUGAUAUAGAUUUGAAUGACAGCUGAAGUCCCACUAUAGUGCAGAACUUUGCUGGGAGUGGUGCCCUCAACUAUUGCUACUGAGUUGGCAAAAUCCCUAGUUGCCAGCCUGAGUCUAGCUGAGAAAUUUGGUUUAUGCCAGCUGAAAAUUUGGCCCCUGGUCAUUAAAGAUGGGAAAAUGAGCUUCUGAGUUAGAAUACCUCAUGCUGAGAAGAGCCACAGCCCCCUUUACUCCCUAAGAAGAGGGAACCAAGCAGACCACCCUGCUUAUCCAUGCCCUCUGGUACCCUUGGGCAGAAUGUGUAGCUCCCUCAUUCAGGCAGGGCAAGUAGAGCAGAUGACUGACUUCUCACAGGUAUUUUCAAGCUAGUUUGGUGUAACAGAAAGACAAAUCUUUUUGCUUUGUUUUUCUACAGCACCUAGCACAGCAAAGUCCUGGUCCAUUACCGAAACUGUCAGGGACUUUUGCAGUACAUACAACAAGUAUAUAAUGCAUCUGCUAGAGCACUCACAAACCUUUCAUGUUAUUUAUGUGCUAAUCUGAACAGCAUGGGCUAGAUUUUGAUCUUAGCUAUUCUGGUGUAAAUGAGAUACGGGUUUGGCCUUACAUCCGUAAGAUCUACAGUAUAUCAGUGUUUCUAAUGUGCUCAUCAUGGAAAUAUCUUGGCAUUGUGCAGCUGGCCCACUUCAGUGUGACUAGAAUAGCAAAGCAUUAUAUUAAGCAAACAGAACAGUUUGAUUUAUAGAUUUGUGGUAAGAAUAGUUCAGUUUUCCAGGGUGUUCAACUUAAUUAACAUUCUCCAGGGAAAAAACUGCUAUUGUUUCCCUAACCACAUGCCUUCCAAUACAAAAUAAACUCUUGCUGGUGUGUAUGUGCUGCUUAA
This is a long non-coding RNA of Dromaius novaehollandiae (emu), 3130 nucleotides long. RefSeq lists it as uncharacterized. NCBI's taxonomy places the organism in Eukaryota, Metazoa, Chordata, Aves, Casuariiformes, Dromaiidae. The transcript has 2 exons. The record is from RefSeq and is a predicted model, not a curated record.